Molecule: long non-coding RNA, 1124 nt
Organism: Hemicordylus capensis (graceful crag lizard)
Lineage: Eukaryota; Metazoa; Chordata; Lepidosauria; Squamata; Cordylidae
Exons: 4
Source: RefSeq, a predicted model, not a curated record
GAUCCCGAGGUUUGUGCUGCUUUCAUGUUUCAGUUAUUUCUCUUCCUAUGACAUAUCUCACCUCAGUGCUCCCCCAGAGCUAUAUUUAUCAAGGCCGAGGCACUGACUUUCAGUGCUGCAUCCUCUACACAUAUUGUCACCAGCAGCAGUGUAAAUGAGCCAUCAUUAUCCCAACCAGAUUUUAAAAUGUCUGUGAUUGUUUUAUGUAAAAUUUCUCCAUAAUCAGCUGCAGGGCACAUGCACGGAACAUAUACCAACAGUUUUCAGCAGGGGUGUGGUGGGGGGAGGCGCAAAGAGAGCAACUGAAAGCCCCUGCUUAAAGGAUGGCAGAGGCAUUAAUUUUACUGAUAUCAGUAUAAGUGGUAGGAAAUUUGGACGCAUCACCUUUCUGCUCACCUUUUUCUCAUCAUUUCUUCUCAUUUUCAUUCCUUGUCCCUUGCCACUAACAUUUCAGACUGCCACACAGCAGAAAGGGACUUGAGUUGGCAUGCACUCGGCAAAUGUGGGGAAAUGCUAGUGUGGUGUUUGUGCAAAUGCUGCAAAUAUUAUCAAGAGGAAGAGGAAGAGGAAGAGGAAGAGGAAGAGGAAGAGGAAGAAGAAGAAGAAGAAGAAGAAGAAGAAGAAGAAGAAGAAGAAGAAGAAGAAGAAGAAGAAGAAGUGGUGAAUACCACACAAAACAACCCCCACAAAAUUUGAACACAAAGUAGCCCAAAAAGCAGCCCUCUGAUUCUGUCUUCCUGCUCUCCAGUUCCAGCCUGCCACUCCAUCCUGUUGCUCUUGCCUCCCAUACCAGCUCCCAUUCUGAUCUCCAAACCAGACCCACGUCCUGAAUUACGCACGACUCACUUCACCUCCCUUGGACAGUAGAUCCAGCAGUUGAUCUACCUGAGCCGUUUGGCUGAAUCAUCCAACAUACAUCUGAAUCAUUGUGGUAUCUCUGCUUCCUUGCGAUCAACAGUACAACAUAGCUGAGGGAACAUCUCUGUCUUAGCCCAUGGCUAAAUGCUCUUUUCUCUUGAUCCCAAACCUCAUGCAACAUUUGCACAUGGGAUCUUUAAACUGUACAUGUGCUAAAUUUGUAUACAUUUGAACUUUCCAUAGAAAUGACACAGACUGUAUCCUUU